UUCCCCUAGUAACGGCGAGUGAAGCGGGAUGAGCUCAAGCUUAAAUCUCUGUUUCAAAUUUAUUUUGUGCGGCGAAUUGUAGUCUAUAGAGGCGUGAUCAGUGUAGGCGCUUGAGAUAAGUUCCUUGAAAAAGGACAGCAUGGAGGGUGAAACUCCCGUUCAUACUUAGGUGGCUUGCACGUACGAUCCGUUUUCUUUGAGUCGCGUUGUUUGAGAAUGCAGCGCAAAGUAGGUGGUAAAUUCCAUCUAAAGCUAAAUAUUGGUGCGAGACCGAUAGCGAACAAGUACCGUGAGGGAAAGAUGAAAAGAACUCUGAAAAGAGAGUUAAAGAGUACCUGAAACUGCUGAAAGGGAACCGAAUCGUUUCUAGUGUCUAUAAUCUAUGACAUAUUUCAUUGGGAAGUGUGUGCGUGUGUAUACUAUGGCAGUGGCUUUUUUUGAGUUGCGCUUGGUGUGCGUGCUGUAUGUGCUAACUGAUGCCCUGUGUUAUAGUGGGACGUCAAGGUCAGUUUGUAUACUGCGGGAAAUGGCUACUGAGGAGGUAGGGCUUACGCUUGCGUUUGUCUAUUAUAUCUUGGUAGUUGUGUCGUGGUUGAGACUGAGGUGUUCUACAACGUGCUUAUGAGUGGGUCUGUGUCUCCGUGUGCGCCGUGUGCAGAUAGCUUGCUAUGUGUGUGUGGUGGUGUG
RNAcentral lists this ribosomal RNA (687 nucleotides) under Hyaloperonospora cardamines-laciniatae. RNAcentral's name for it is "partial large subunit ribosomal RNA". It matches the Rfam family "Eukaryotic large subunit ribosomal RNA", at positions 75 to 609 of the family's 3401-position model. The record is from RNAcentral. Lineage: Eukaryota; Oomycota; Peronosporomycetes; Peronosporales; Peronosporaceae.